CGCAGGAUAAGUUAAUUUAGACUAUUGGGCUCAUGCCCCACCAGCGGAACACUUCUUCCUCCUGCAA
Molecule: transfer RNA, 67 nt
Filed under: Siphonosoma cumanense
Lineage: Eukaryota; Metazoa; Annelida; Sipuncula; Golfingiida; Sipunculidae
Description: tRNA-Met
Source: RNAcentral